This 492-nucleotide ribosomal RNA is filed under the name uncultured bacterium. RNAcentral's name for it is "partial 16S ribosomal RNA". It matches the Rfam family "Bacterial small subunit ribosomal RNA", at positions 29 to 507 of the family's 1533-position model. The record is from RNAcentral.
AGUGAACGCUGGCGGUAGGCCUAACACAUGCAAGUCGAACGGCAGCACAGUAAGAGCUUGCUCUUACGGGUGGCGAGUGGCGGAAGGGUGAGGAAUACAUCGGAAUCUACUUUUUCGUGGGGGAUAACGUAGGGAAACUUACGCUAAUACCGCAUACGACCUACGGGUGAAAGCAGGGGAUCUUCGGACCUUGCGCGAUUGAAUGAGCCGAUGUCGGAUUAGCUAGUUGGCGGGGUAAAGGCCCACCAAGGCGACGAUCCGUAGCUGGUCUGAGAGGAUGAUCAGCCACACUGGAACUGAGACACGGUCCAGACUCCUAAGGGAGGCAGCAGUGGGGAAUAUGGGACAAUGGGCGCAAGCCUGAUCCAGCCAUACCGCGUGGGUGAAGAAGGCAUUCGGGUUGUAAAGCCCUUUUGUUGGGAAAGAAAAGCAGCAGGUUAAUACCCCGCUGUUCUGACGGUACCCAAAGAAUAAGCACAGGCUAACUUCGUG